CCUUCAUGAAGCUGGAAUUGCUGUAAUGGCAGGUCAGCAUACUGCCGUGAAUACGUUCCCGGGCCUUCGUACACACCGCCCGUCACACCAUGAGAGUUGGAAAUACCCGAAGCCUGUGAGCUAACAGUAAUGAGGCAGCAGUCGAAGGUAGAGCCAAUGAUUGGGGUGAAGUCGUAACAAGGUAUC
Molecule: ribosomal RNA, 186 nt
Filed under: uncultured bacterium
Lineage: Bacteria
Description: partial 16S ribosomal RNA
Rfam family: Bacterial small subunit ribosomal RNA
Source: RNAcentral